UCAGUCGACUCCUACGGGAGGCAGCAGUAGGGAAUCUUAGACAAUGGGCGCAAGCCUGAUCUAGCGAUGCCGCGUGUGUGACGAAGGCCUUAGGGUCGUAAAGCACUUUCGCCAGGGAUGAUAAUGACAGUACCUGGUAAAGAAAGUCCCGGCUAACUCCGUGCCAGCAGCCGCGGUAAUACGGAGGGGACUAGCGUUGUUCGGAAUUACUGGGCGUAAAGCGCGCGUAGGCGGAUUAGUUAGUCAGAGGUGAAAUCCCAGGGCUCAACCCUGGAACUGCCUUUGAUACUGCUAGUCUUGAGUUCGAGAGAGGUGAGUGGAAUUCCGAGUGUAGAGGUGAAAUUCGUAGAUAUUCGGAGGAACACCAGUGGCGAAGGCGGCUCACUGGCUCGAUACUGACGCUGAGGUGCGAAAGUGUGGGGAGCAAACAGGAUUAGAUACCCUGGUAG
Molecule: ribosomal RNA, 449 nt
Filed under: uncultured bacterium
Lineage: Bacteria
Description: bacterial SSU rRNA
Rfam family: Bacterial small subunit ribosomal RNA
Source: RNAcentral